AUUGAACGCUGGCGGCAGGCCUAACACAUGCAAGUCGAACGGUAACAGGAAGAAGCUUGCUUCUUUGCUGACGAGUGGCGGACGGGUGAGUAAUGUCUGGGAAACUGCCUGAUGGAGGGGGAUAACUACUGGAAACGGUAGCUAAUACCGCAUAACGUCGCAAGACCAAGGAGGGGGACCUUCGGGCCUCUUGCCAUCGGAUGUGCCCAGAUGGGAUUAGCUAGUAGGUGGGGUAACGGCUCACCUAGGCGACGAUCCCUAGCUGGUCUGAGAGGAUGACCAGCCACACUGGAACUGAGACACGGUCCAGACUCCUACGGGAGGCAGCAGUGGGGAAUAUUGCACAAUGGGCGCAAGCCUGAUGCAGCCAUGCCGCGUGUAUGAAGAAGGCCUUCGGGUUGUAAAGUACUUUCAGCGGGGAGGAAGGGAGUAAAGUUAAUACCUUGGCUCAUUGACGUUACCCGCAGAAGAAGCACCGGCUAACUCCGUG
This 490-nucleotide ribosomal RNA is filed under the name uncultured bacterium. Its description in RNAcentral is "partial 16S ribosomal RNA". It matches the Rfam family "Bacterial small subunit ribosomal RNA", at positions 30 to 507 of the family's 1533-position model. The record is from RNAcentral.